CACAGGCAUGUCAUAUGGAUGGCUGGUUUCCUCUCCCAACAAGAACCUUGCUGGGAAUCACAGUCACUGCUAUAUGUCAUUCUACUCUUGAGUAAUACUGUUGUGUCGGCAACACGGCCCCUCCAGGAAAGUGGGAAGUAAUGCCAGCUCCUGCAAGAAAUUUGCCACCCAGCUGAGCUCUCUCAGAACAGUAGUGGCUUUUCUACGCCCUAUAUUUGUCAAUAAUUUCUGCUCAUGGGGUUGGUCAGUUCUUUGUGGCUAGGGAAAGUUGUAGCCCUUUAUCAAAUGCAGCUCUCAGCCCUGCCAGAUGUGAUCUGCUUUUCAUUUAAAAGUCUUGCAGAAAGCAACCAAGUGUCUGAGCCGUGCCCAGUCCUCCUGGGCAAAUUCUUUGCCACCUCAGAUGUUAAUUCCUAGAAACUCUAUUGUUGAGAGCCACGGUCCUUAGAGUUCUGCUGAGCUGCGGAUCCUGGAGAGGCUUAAAGACAUUUUCUGCUGCAGUCGUUUGGAACGGCUCUGCAUUACUGUGAUCUCCAUUACAACACAAUAACAGGAAACGUUUCGGUGGCCUCUGCAGUACUUGGCAUAUUAUUUCACUUUAAUGCUCGUAUUGUUUGAGCAUUAAUAAAACUGGAAACUGUGAUAUAAUUAAAUCCAUUCUUCCUACAGAGAAGAUGACUGUCUAAGAUAGUGGCAAGAGCAGCAGACUCACAUGUCGCCUGGAGGAGAGAGAGCCUUCCCCUUGCCAAGGCACAGCAGACACGUGCUUGGGUUUAUAUCCUUAUGCAUAAAAAGAGCUCCAGUUGAGAGCUGGAGACCUCUUGUACCUCUGGAUCCAGCACCAUGAGACUUUAUUUCUUGAGCUAUAAGAUUAUCCUGUUAGACCAAAGGAUAAACUGUUCUCAUGAUGCACAACCUGGGCCACUCACGGGAUAAGAUUUUACAUGCAGAGGCCAAAUAAAUGAUAGUGCCAUGGCUUGUUUGAACCAGCUGAAAUAAAUAUCUGAAGUCAGGGUUCUGAGCAACCUGAGCUGGUGAAGAUGUCCCUGCUCAUGGCAGGGGUGGCACUGGGGGAGCUGGGAAGGUCCCUUCAACCCAAACCAUUCCGUGAUUCUAUGAUUCUAUGAUUCUGUUAUGUCAUAUCUCUCCAAACAGUCUGAGUCAACAAAGUCCCUCGUGUAUUCAGUCUCCUUUGCUGUAUGCUCAGAACUGUUGCAGUGACCAAGAAAAUGUGUUUCCUGAAAUGCAAUGAAGAUUUUCCUUUGGCCACACUUGAACUUCUCUUCUUUGCAAGAGUCCAGCUGUAAUUGAAUCUCUGCUAAACUUUUAAUGUGUCCUUUUGACUCUUGAUUGAAUCAAUACUAAGAAAAAGUCACUUUCUCCAGUGUCACAAUACACAAAUUAGCUCAGAAAAUUCCUGCAUCAAGGAAUACCACAGGGCAGAUCCAAACAUCCCCAUUUCCCUGGAAAAGUUCAGAGCUUGGGGGAGGACAGCAGAAAAGAGGGUGAAUGGCUGACCAAGCUACUCAAGAUGUGGCACUAAAAACUAAUCCCCCUCACCAGCCGAGUGACAUCCACCCCAGGAAAGGUCCCAGCACUCCCUCCGUGAGGGCUCCUGAGAAAAGGCUUCCCAAACCACCUGAACUUUCAAGGACCAAACCAGCAGAGACAGAAGGAAAAUCAGUCAAACCUCAGAAUGAACUUUAAUAAGAAGAAUGAUCUGGAAUAGCUAAUAAAAAGCAUAUGAAAUCCUAAGCAAUGCUGAUUUUCUCUGUAGCUAGGUGCAGAAAUGACCCAAACUUCUUUUCUAUAUUUUUAUAAGACUUUAUACUAAAACGUGGUCACUCUUAAUCAGCAGAAAAGACUGCUGCUGAUCUCUAAUUUUGCAACCACGUUAUUUCAAAUGUUGUUUUCCUGUUGUUAAUAAUGUGAGAGGAGAAGAAAACAAAGCUAAAGACGUGAAGAUGUAAUUAACGAACACAUACAUCAGUCCACUGUGCUCAGUACUAGAAAGAGCAGUGCAUCAGUAAAUAUUUACAGAACUUUAAUAUAUUGUGUUUCUAUAAUACAUUAACACAAGUAGACUAUAUAUAUGUUACUUGGGAAGAUGUUACAUAUUCUGGUUUCUCUCCUUUAGUUUUGGGGUCCAUCAUUAGUGUCUUACAGAAGGAUUAUUUGAAAUUCAG
This is a long non-coding RNA of Columba livia (rock pigeon), 2183 nucleotides long. RefSeq lists it as uncharacterized. Lineage: Eukaryota; Metazoa; Chordata; Aves; Columbiformes; Columbidae. The transcript is spliced from 3 exons. The record is from RefSeq and is a predicted model, not a curated record.